This 478-nucleotide ribosomal RNA is filed under the name uncultured bacterium. RNAcentral's name for it is "partial 16S ribosomal RNA". It matches the Rfam family "Bacterial small subunit ribosomal RNA", at positions 28 to 523 of the family's 1533-position model. The record is from RNAcentral.
GACGAACGCUGGCGGCGUGCUUAACACAUGCAAGUCGAACGGUAAGGCCCUUCGGGGUACACGAGUGGCGAACGGGUGAGUAACACGUGGGCGAUCUGCCCUGCACUUCGGGAUAAGCCGGGGAAACUGGGUCUAAUACCGGAGAGGACGCCGGACUGAAUGGUACGGGGUGGAGAGCAUUUGCGGUGUGGGAUGGGCCCGCGGCCUAUCAGCUUGUUGGUGGGGUGAUGGACUACCAAGGCGACGACGGGUAGCCGGCCUGAGAGGGUGACCGGCCACACUGGGACUGAGAUACGGCCCAGACUCCUACGGGAGGCAGCAGUGGGGAAUAUUGCACAAUGGGCGCAAGCCUGAUGCAGCGACGCCGCGUGAGGGAUGACGGCCUUCGGGUUGUAAACCUCUUUCAGCAUCGACGAAGCGAAAGUGACGGUAGGUGCAGAAGAAGGACCGGCCAACUACGUGCCAGCCGCCGCCGUAA